AUUGAACGCUGGCGGCAUGCUUUACACAUGCAAGUCGAACGGUAACAGGGAGCUUGCUCCGCUGACGAGUGGCGAACGGGUGAGUAAUAUAUCGGAACGUACCUUUGAGUGGGGGAUAACUAGUCGAAAGAUUAGCUAAUACCGCAUACGAUCUACGGAUGAAAGCGGGGGAUCGCAAGACCUCGUGCUCAUAGAGCGGCCGAUAUCUGAUUAGCUAGUUGGUGAGGUAAAGGCUCACCAAGGCUUCGAUCAGUAGCUGGUCUGAGAGGACGACCAGCCACACUGGGACUGAGACACGGCCCAGACUCCUACGUGAGGCAGCAGUGGGGAAUUUUGGACAAUGGGGGCAACCCUGAUCCAGCAAUGCCGCGUGAGUGAAGAAGGCCUUCGGGUUGUAAAGCUCUUUUGUCAGGGAAGAAACGGGAUGUCCUAAUACGGUGUCCUAAUGACGGUACCUGAAGAAUAAGCACCGGCUAACUACGUGCCAGCAGCCGCGGUAAUACGUAGGGUGCAAGCGUUAAUCGGAAUUACUGAGCGUAAAGCGUGCGCAGGCGGUUAUGUAAGACAGGUGUGAAAUCCCCGGGCUUAACCUGGGAAUGGCAUUUGUGACUGCAUAGCUAGAGUGUGUCAGAGGGGGGUAGAAUUCCACGUGUAGCAGUGAAAUGCGUAGAGAUGUGGAGGAAUACCGAUGGCGAAGGCAGCCCCCUGGGAUAACACUGACGCUCAUGCACGAAAGCGUGGGGAGCAAACAGGAUUAGAUACCCUGGUAGUCCACGCCCUAACGAUGUCUACUGGUUGUUGGGUCUUCACUGACUCAGUAACGAAGCUAACGCGUGAAGUUGACCGCCUGGGGAGUACGGC
RNAcentral lists this ribosomal RNA (861 nucleotides) under uncultured bacterium. RNAcentral's name for it is "bacterial SSU rRNA". It matches the Rfam family "Bacterial small subunit ribosomal RNA", at positions 28 to 886 of the family's 1533-position model. The record is from RNAcentral.